RNAcentral lists this ribosomal RNA (253 nucleotides) under uncultured bacterium. Its description in RNAcentral is "partial 16S ribosomal RNA". It matches the Rfam family "Bacterial small subunit ribosomal RNA", at positions 524 to 776 of the family's 1533-position model. The record is from RNAcentral.
UACGUAGGGCGCAAGCGUUGUCCGGAAUUAUUGGGCGUAAAGAGCUCGUAGGCGGCUUGUCACGUCGGGUGUGAAAGCCCGGGGCUUAACCCCGGGUCUGCAUUCGAUACGGGCAGGCUAGAGUGUGGUAGGGGAGAUCGGAAUUCCUGGUGUAGCGGUGAAAUGCGCAGAUAUCAGGAGGAACACCGGUGGCGAAGGCGGAUCUCUGGGCCAUUACUGACGCUGAGGCGCGAAAGCCAGGGGAGCGAACGGG